ACGCCUGACUCUUGAAUCAUCAGUGAGUAAUGACGCGGAGCCCCGCAGGCAGACUCUCGGAUCUGGAUUUGAGCUUGAAUCCUUUGAUUUGUUUUCAUCAACACUAACAGCAUUCCCGCAGGCCCUUCACUUCAAAGCCCGGGGAGCUGGUGGCGGAGGGCCUGCAGCUACUGCACAGGGAGGCAGAAAGCAACCCAAACAUCAUUGCCACAGGUGCCAAGAUGAGCUGCGUUGGCUUCCUGUGAAGGCUCCAGCUAUGGAUUCCAAUCCCAGCCUCACCGCUUCCCAGCUGUGUAAACUUCGGCAAGUUUCUUAAACUCUCAGAGCCUCUUCAUCUGUAAACAAGGCUACUUACAGCUCCCCACUCAGCGUGUCCUGGUGAGGAUUAAGAGAGCUAACGGACGCGCUGCACUUUCUCCAUGUUAACUGUUACAAAGAGCUUUCAGGAGGGGUCUCCUGCUGGAUUCCCGUCGCUCCAUGGCUCCGAAACGCAGGCAGCCCUCCCAGGACUCCAAGCAGGGCCCAAAAUUUGUUUGUGAGGAUUUGCAUAAAAAGCUUUACUGAAUGGGAUUCACUGAAUGCAGAUGGCUCCUGGAGUUUGACUCUGGCCCAAAGUGAAGGCUGCCUGGGAUGCAAAGGAGAAGCUCUCAGCCCAGUCUGCUGGGGAAGCACCUGUCAUUGGUUUGGGCCUGGCAGCGUGGUCUCCAAGGAGACGGUUGCAUGUAGAUUCUUGGCAGAGGCCUUGGUAUUACCCAGACAUUGUCCCCCGCCCUGCACGGAGGGAGUGACUCCAACAGUAAGGAGUCUGGCAGCACUGCAGGGGAUGGCAUGGAAGCUUUGAGUGGAGCCUCCCAGAAGCCUGCAGCAUGACAUGGAGCUAUCUGCUGCUCAGUCAGAGACCCAGGCCUUCCAAGACUCCCAGUGGCUCUGUCCCUGGGCACUGAGGGUGGGCCAAAUGGGCUUCCCACUUCACCAACCUGCACCCAUUUCCUGGCUGGACCAGGCAUCCUGGGGGAGUUACAUGAGGCUCCCUGCUGGUUAAGGCUCCAAGCCCACCUUGGUCUUCUGGGCUGGGUCCCUCAUGCUCCUCCUCUCCUUCCAUAUCAUCCCACCCUCCCUACCCCUGCCAGCCCCAUUUGUUCUCUGUUCCUCGCUCUCCCACCUCCUCUGUCUCCUAGGUGUCUGCCCACCCCUGCCUUUCUCAGUCGCCACACAGCUCAUGGCCAUGUCCACGCCCCCCCAGACCUCAUCCCCAGUAAUAUCAACCACAACCAUAACCAAUGUUUAUUACGCACCUAUUAUGUCCUA
RNAcentral lists this long non-coding RNA (1308 nucleotides) under Equus caballus (horse). Its description in RNAcentral is "lncRNA (ENSECAG00000056890.1)". Lineage: Eukaryota; Metazoa; Chordata; Mammalia; Perissodactyla; Equidae. The record is from RNAcentral.